AUGCCUCUCCUCUUUCUUUCCCUCUGUCCAGCUCCCCAUCUCUCUGUCUGGGUCUGCAGCCUUCUCUUCUGCUCCCCAUCCCUCUCUGCCACUCCCUGUUCCUCUGUCCAGCUUUUCAUCCUUCUCUUUCUCUCCCCAUUGCUCUGUCUGGCCCCCUGUCCAUCUUUUACUUUUUUCCAUCCCUCUGUCCAUCCGUACUUCCCUCUGUCUACUUCCCCAGCCCUCUUUCCACAUCCUCUGCUCCCCAUUCCUCUGACUGGCUUCCCAUCACUGUAUCUGGCUCUCCAUCCUCCUGUCUCUCCCUGUCACACUCCCCAGCCUGCUGUCCCUCUGCUUCUUUCACCAUCCCUMUGUUGCCUCUCCAUACCUCUCUUUCCCUUUCCUUCUCUCUCUCCACAUCUCCAGUCUUUUACUUCUUUUUCCAUCCCUCUCUUCUGUUGCCCAUCCCUUUGUCUGCCUCUGCCUCCCUCUCUUUUCCUUUCCAUCUCUCUAUCCACCUUCCCAUCCUUCUCUUCCGCUCCCUGCCCCUCUGUCCCAUUUCCAUCCUUUUCUUUCACUCCCUGUCACUCUGUCCCUCUCCCUGUCCAUCUGUUUGUCUCCCCAUCCCUCUCUCUACUUCUUUCUUUUUCCUUUCCAUCCCUCUGUCUCUCCAUCCUUCUAGCUCCCCGUUCUCCUGUCAARCUCCGUCUCCCUCUUUUCCUCUCUUUAUUCUUCUGUCCACUUUUACAUCCCUCUUUUUCUCUCCUGCUGUGUCCAGGUCUCCAGCCUUCUCUUUCUUUCUCCAUCCCUCUGUCAAGCUCUCUAUCCCUCUUUUCCUUUCUUCUGCUCCCCCUCCCUUUGUCUGGCUCCUUGCCCCUCUGUGCACCUGAAGGUCUGUCAUUCCUUGUGUUUUGUCUGGUUUUGCAGGUGCCAAGAGGUGGUCGGCGCUCAUCAGAGGUGAUCAGCAGCGCCCAGAGGGUCCCUCUGAUCUGCCUGGUUCAGGUCACRUCAGACACCUCUGCAGUAAGCACGGGGCUGUGGAUGUGCAGGCGGGGAGCACUAAUGGGCCAGAGACGCUGCUGGGGAUGUGGCUGA
This 1074-nucleotide long non-coding RNA is filed under the name Apteryx haastii (Great spotted kiwi). Its description in RNAcentral is "lncRNA (ENSAHAG00000011159.1)". The record is from RNAcentral. Lineage: Eukaryota; Metazoa; Chordata; Aves; Apterygiformes; Apterygidae.